CUGAGACCAGCCACCAGGGAAGAAACAUCUCCUUGUGAGCUUUGGUUUCAGGAUCACCCAGAGACUUACAGGACUCAGAAGCUAUGACUGAGAUGACUUCAGAAAGAUACUUCACAUCACAGGACAAAGAUUCAUUACUCUGAAGGGCCAUAGAAAGAGUGGACCAGAUUGGAAAAUGGAAUGUAUGCUUUUGUUCUGUUCUUUUAGCAUCUGAUUAAGGAGUGCCUGGAGGCUCCACUCAUGAUUAGGUUCACUUGUAUAAGGGUUCGGCUCAUACAACCGUGUCCUUGAACCAACAACUUGAACCUAUUAUGAGACUUAGCAGAUGGAGAAAAGAAAAGCAUGGUUACCAGGGGGACCAGCAUCCGAAAACUGUGUUCUGGGGAGCUGUCAUGGCAGACGUGUUUAGUGAUCCCUCAUUGCUUACAGUGCACUGUUACAAUGAAAGAAUCAUAGAAAAUAGGGCUGAAAGGAAUGUCAAGGGAUCAUCUGCCCCAACCCCAA
Alligator mississippiensis (American alligator) is the source of this 504-nucleotide long non-coding RNA. RefSeq lists it as uncharacterized. Lineage: Eukaryota; Metazoa; Chordata; Crocodylia; Alligatoridae. The transcript is spliced from 4 exons. The record is from RefSeq and is a predicted model, not a curated record.